This 2384-nucleotide long non-coding RNA is filed under the name Prunus persica (peach). RNAcentral describes it as "long non-coding RNA (PPER_LNC006325)". Lineage: Eukaryota; Viridiplantae; Streptophyta; Magnoliopsida; Rosales; Rosaceae. The record is from RNAcentral.
UGAACUUGAGUUUUUGCAUGUAUUUAAAUACAUGCAAAGAGAAAAUGCUUAAGGAGGAUGUUAUGUCAUCCAAAUCUCCUCCAUCAUUUGGGAUACUCUAUGAAUGAAAAUUCUCUACUUGUCUUGCACUUGUCAUUUGAAAAAAGAACUUUGAGAAAUAUCCUUGCAACAAAUAGGGCAAGUUUAUCUUGGGACAACCAAAUCACCAUAUAUGUUGAAGCGGCCAGGGAAUUAGCUGUUCCUCAUGUGCGUCGUCACCAGUGGGGUUUAUUCCAUACUUCAAGGACAUGAACAUUUGUUGUGCUAUCCGCUUCUAACACGAGUCUCCCCAGCACCCCAUCACCCCCCUUUAAGACAAAUGAGCUGGAUUGUCACUCGGUAAGCGGCAAAGCAUUCCAAGACCUCUUGGAUUUCGGAAACUCCCCAACACCUUAUUCUCAAUGGACUUUGAGACUGGCGCACACACAAAUAUUCGGGAAUAAAUUGAAUGCAAUCACCUCCAGAACAAGCAUACAACAAUGGACACAAAGAUUUAUAGAGGUUCGAUCAAUCUUUCUUACAUCCUCUUAGUGAUCCUUCUGAGAAAUUUCACUUAUGAAAGAAUAUGUUACAACUUUGGUUUACAUAGAAACCCCCUUAGGAUAUUACUCUCUCCCUCAAGCUCACUUUUUUUCCACAUCCUGCUCAAACCCUUUAUGCCCCUACUUUGCCCUCUUGCAAAGCUUGCUUUGCUUGCACUAGCUCUUUUGGACACUUUGCAUUCUUAACUCUCACUUGCUCUCAAAGCACCUUGGACUCCCAGUCCACCCAUUUGGGCUGGUACUUCCCCCCUUUGUAUUAUCUACACUUCUUCCUUAAAUAGACAAGUAUGGAGCUUCCUUCAGCUGCCACCUCACCUUGCUAACCAUCUUUAUUAAUGUCUUGUGCUGAAAAGUCUUCACCAGCCACUUUUGUCUUGUGCAGAAAAGUCUUCAUACCAGCCAACUUCGAUGCAAAGCCUCCACAUUAAUGUCUUGUUUGCUACAACACACCAAUUGCACAUAUUCAAUGCAUUUGGAUGUUCAGCUCCUAUCAAAAGCCUUGAAUGCUUAGCCACCCAUAUCAAUUCUUGGGAUAGGAAGUCAUGCACAUAAAACUACAACAACAUGCUAGAAGUCACACCUAGAGCUAUUACAAAUCAGUUCCCCCUUCCCAAACUAAUUCCUAACCCCCAAAACAGCUCACAAGCUUUCUAACAAACUUAUAGACUUUGGGGUUACAAAACCAUGUCGAAUGAAAAUUAAAAACAUAUGGAAAAACAAGCCAAAAAGGGUGGAGAAAACAACACAGCAUGACAAAAGUAACCGGUCACUCAUGUAUAUGUGCUUGGUGAGCUAAGGACUCCCUAUGAAAAUCAUCGAACCUCCAAAACAUCCUCAACCUCUUGAAAUCUUUCCGGUGAGCUCCAAAAGCUCCAUCAUUUCAAGAAACCCCUUGCCUCAACACACCUUUGGUGGAAGGUGCUCCACCCAAGUGUUGGACAUCUCGUGCAGGUAAAAGUUCCCCUUUAGUAUGCAAACCCUCACACCCUCCUUAUUCAAUAAAUCCGCAUGCAGCCACCUUUCCUCUCAAAUUCACGAAUUGAGUCCCUUCAAGAUCUCUUGGAUUGCGAAAACUCUCCAAGAUCUUGUCUUUAAUAGACUUUGCGACUGGCACACACAAACAAACAUUCGUAGAUGAAUUAAAUGCAAACACCUUCGGAACAAGCAUACAACCAUGUACACAAAGAUUUAUAGAGGUUCAACCAAUCUUUCCUGCAUCCUUUGGUGAUCCCCCUGAGAAAUUUUACUUAUGAAAGAGCAUAUUACAACUUUGGUUUACAGAGAAACCCUCUUACAACACUACUCUCUCCCUCAAGCUUACUUUGCUUGCUCCCAUGUGUUUACCCUUACCCUUGAGCCUAAAACCCCUUGCUCUGGCUCUCUUGGACACUUCGUAUUCUCAGCUCUCACUUGCUCUUAAAGCACAUUGGAGUCCUAAGCCCCUUAUUUGGGCUGGUACUUCCCCCAUUUGUAUCAUCUGCACUUCUUCCUUAAAUAGACAAGUAGAGAGCUUCCUUCAAUUGCUACCUCACCUUGCCAACCACCCUCAUUAAUGUCUUGUGCUGAAAAGUCUUCACCAGCCACUUUUGUCUUGUAUCGAGAAGUCUUCACACUAGCCAUAUUGGAAUGGGAAGCCUUCACAUUAAUGCCUUGUCUACUACAAUACAUCAGAGCUACACAUAUUCAAUGCAUUUGGAUGUCCAGCAGCCCUUAUCAAAAGCCUUGAAUGCUCAGCCACCCCUAUUAGUGCUUGGGAUAUGAAGUCAUGCACCUAGAACUACAACAACAUUCUGGAAGUCACAC